CUUUGUCGGUGUGAUAAAUUUUUCAUCAUUUUCAUGUCCUGAACUCGGGUCAUAUAAGUUAAUCUAUAGAAACAUUUCACAUAUAACCCGCUCCAAUCAAUUGUACGCUAAAUGUCAGUGUUUUGGCAUAAUUUGAGCAGAAAAUUCGCGAAACUGUAGUCUAUAAUGUUGUUUUUCAACACACAUGUUUACAUUCAUGGAGGCUGCCAUUUUUUUCUACCAGACUAUAUAUAUAACCGCUGAUUUGAUUGGAUAACUCUAUUUCCGGGAUUUCCGAUCGGCCAAUCAGAUAGUCGUUAUCAUUAAUACACGGAAUGUGUUCAAAUUUGAAACUAAAAAUAUUGUACGAGUAUGUAUCCUGUCCAGCAUUGUCCAGCUGUGGUUACAUUAAUCAUGUUAAUAAUAAUUAAUACUCAACAACCGUCGAUAAAUAAAGAAAUAGACGUUAAAGGCAGAACAUUUAGGUAUGACAUUAGCUGUUGAACCAAGAAUUUACGAUGUGCUGAUGUAGGGCAGACGUACAGCAGAUACAGGUAAUUUUUAAGAGAUUUUACAUUUGAUUUUUACAUCAUGAAUAUUUUUAAUUAAAAUUAAAAAAAAAAGAUAUACACCCCCUUUAGUUUCAUUCAUGGGCUCUGUUAGUUCACACUUUGAGGAUGACCAUUUGGUGUUCUGAAAAGGGGGAGGUGGGAAUGUAAUAAUAAUUUUAUUAUUCAAUAUUGAAUUACAUUGUGUGCCUUCACAAUCAAGGAAAGAUGUUUACAGUUAACUACACAAUGUCAAGCACAUUCAACUUAAUUUUGUCAUGUUCUGAUUUGGAUGGACAUGCAACACAAAAAAUCCCUAAAGGUUAAUAUUGUGUUUUAGAGUAUUUAUACUUAACUGAAAGAAGCUUCUUAAUUAUAUAUGUACAUUGUAUGAUAAAUAUCAGUAAUAUAUGAUGCAUACAGGUCAUGACCAGAAUUAAAAAUUAUUAAUAAAAUGUUUUUACAUUUUUUUUUAGGUUGUCCAUAUAUUAAAAGGGAUUGAUCACGGUGAAGGUACAAAGCUGCAAAAAUGAUGACUGUGCAUCGAUCAAUAUCCACUCAAUAAUAUGAAAACACGAUGAAAACAAACGAACCAGCAGCAGAAAAGAAAUUUGAGUAUAAGAUUAUUGAAAGAUUAAUCAAUGAAGACUUAAUGGAACAGGAUUGGAAUGCAGAAACUUUGGACUUAAUUCAUGAAUAAUAUCAAUGGAUGAUGAAGAAAACUGACCAAACUGACAAAGUAUUUCGUAUGCAUGUUAACUGGACAUUUUUGUUUGUUUAAUGCACAAUAAACAAAUUUGUAAAAUUGAAAAUUAAAACCAUUUGUGAAAGAUUUCAAGAGGACCAAAAGUUACCAUGGACUUAUGAAUGAUUUAACCAGAAAAAUGAUUUACAUGUACAAUUAAGUAAAUACAUCUUUGACUAAAAAAUGAUAAUUUAUCAACGUUAAUAUUUUAAAGAGGUUGAUCUUUUCGUUUAAAAGGUCUUAAAUGUGGAUGAUGUAUAAACUGUUGUAAUUUCUUUAAUUGUUGACUUGCAUUAAAAUGGUUAUUGUCUUA
Long non-coding RNA from Mytilus californianus (California mussel), 1585 nucleotides. RefSeq lists it as uncharacterized. Lineage: Eukaryota; Metazoa; Mollusca; Bivalvia; Mytilida; Mytilidae. The transcript is spliced from 2 exons. The record is from RefSeq and is a predicted model, not a curated record.